GGUCAGACCAUAGAAGACAGCGCGCUAGCGUAUCUAGUCUUCUAUAUAUAUCUAUGGUCCGCACGUCUGGCAGCAUCUGUGGCUGCUGUUGACUUUGUUUUUGGAGUAAAACACGGUGGAAGCUGAAUUAGUGAGGAUGACUCCUGCUCCUGUCAUCUCUAAGCUCCUCACACAUCUUUACCUGCACAUGAGGAAAAUCACUCCUGUAGAAUGCAGAUGUUCAUAGGGAGAUGAUGCCACAUCUGGUCCAGCUGAUGGAAGGUCUUGAAGUUCUCUGACUGGCCUCGACUGAAGAUGGUCGUCUCACUGGAUUUAAGGUUCAGAUGCUCAGUAACAAACUCCACCAAUGAGCCAACAGGGAGGCUUUAGGUUUAUUAAAUGUUGCUAUGAAGGUAUCGCUGUUUUUCUUUGUGAAUGCAAUGUGCUGCAACUGAAACUUGAAUUAGAACUUAGAAGUAAAUCCUUCCAUCUGAAAGGAUUUAGUUGCAUUAAUAACCUCAUAACAUUCUAAUUUUUAUUCCAGUCUUGGUUGGAAAUAGAAUCUCUGUAUUGAUUCAGGUAAAAACUGAACUUCACAGCAUGUUGGAGCAAAACAACCAGAUGAAAACUGUGAUGAUGUUGGAUUGUCAGACCGUAAUGUUGCAGCUCAAAGCAGCUUUUCUAUCUCAGUUCAUUCUGACAUUCAGCUAUGAAUCAACACAGCAGAUGGUGAUCCAUGCUGUGGAAGCCUCACAUCUCCUGAUUUAAUGGAGCUGCUUUGCACUUUUUACACUGUUUAUUCACCAACACUUUAUUUAAUAAAAGUCCCAUCUAGUUUUUAUGAGGAAUGUGAUGUUUUGAUUUCUCUGUGAAUAACUGCAGUCUAAUGCAACAGCUGGAAUUGUAACAUCUGUCCUGAUAUUGAUCAUGAAGUAUUGAUCAGAAUACUUAUGGUCAGAAGUCAUCCCUGAAGUUUUACAUUAAAAUCUUUACUUGUGUUGUGAACUUUGGUAAGAAGCAGAAACUUUAGCGUUGCCAUGGAUACAUGAGUGUUAAAUUCUGUCCAUGUUUCCAUUGUGGGAAAUUCAUUCCAGCAGUCUGAGAUAUUACGAAUAAAUAAAUGUGCAUAAUGUGGAAAUGAAGAGAUUUUAUUUUUAUUUAUUCCUACAGCUGCUCCAGGGAAUGUUCUAGAAUUUGGAGGAAUUUAGUCUCACAAUCACAGACAAUAAAUAUUAUCUGAAAGUCGGGUUAUUGUUGUUUAUCAGCACAAUACAAAAAGAUUAAUGUUAGAAAUAUUCCAGUUAAGACUCUAGAAUAUCAUGAUUUAUGUAAAUUUACCUCAAUAAUAUGAAUGUUCAGGUUAAGAUUGUGCAGUGAUAUUAUGUAAGUUUAGCUGAUUAAAGUUUAUGACUCUGCACUAAAAUAUUAUUUAAAUUUACAUCAUUAUAAUAUUUAGGGUCAGACCCUACAGUAUUGAGAUUAAGAAAUCAAAUAUUCUAUAAAUUGUAAAUGCACUGAACUCAUUUGGAUAUAUUUAAGUGAGACUCUACAAUAUUAUUUGACACAAAUCUAUCUAAAUCAAAAUUUUAGUCAUUUUUACUCCAAACAUUUACUGGACUGAUUUAAUUAUUAAAAUCACUCCUUUCUAAUCCUCUGCUGUACUUUCAAACCCGAGACCUUAAAUAGAAACACACAAGUAUCUGAUUGAAGGAACUUCUGCAGAGUCCUGGUUCCAGAACAUGAUGAUAGAAUUAUAGACAAACUUUACCAAAAGCUGCCUGAGAGUUUACAGGUUUUUAUGUUGGAUUUCUUCAGUAAUUUAAUGAGAGUUAUCAGCAAAAAUCAAGUGUUCAGUUGAUGAACUUCAUUUCCUAAAACAUCCAGAAUUGGAGCUCAUAUCUUUGGCAGCUGUAAAAUUUCUAUUCCUUCAAAGUUCACAACACAAUGAAUGAAUUCCUAAAACACUCUCAAUGCUGGAGAGCGUUUGUGAUGCUGAAGCAGUGACCAGUUUUUCUGUUUAUUCUCUGGAGAUGCACAAUGAGGGACGUCUGCAGAGACUGAGAAAGAGUCUCACCACAUCCUGACAUGAGGAAAAAGACUUUAUUGAAGACUACAAUGAGAAAAACUAUCAGACAGCAGACGGCUGCAUUCAAGAGAGGAAGACCAUCAAACAUCCACGUCAGCUGAUGGAGGUCCAAGAGUCUCACCAAACAAACAACCUACAGAGUGAAGACCUCGAAUCUGAUUGGACGGCCUCCUAUUCAGCCACGUGUGAACAAAUACCUUGAAGUUGAUUUGUUUUCUAAAAUAAAUCUAGUUUGAGUCCUAAUCUAUGUCUGUGUGUUUGCUUCUUUACACCGCUGUUAACAGUUUAGGCUGUUAGAUUGUUCCAGAUAAGACGAGUACAAGAUUCUUCAGAGCCGUUCUACCAUGAGCCUGACAGGAAGAACUCCAACAGCUACUGAAUGUUCCUGUGGUUCCCUCAAGGCUACAGGAGGAGUCCUACGAGGACGAGCCGGUCCACCUGAUGGCGGCCAGUCGCUGCGGUUCAAAGCCAACACCGACUACGUGGACUUCUACUGGACCACACGGAGGCCUUCAAACCGGACCAACAAGUUCAG
Long non-coding RNA from Amphiprion ocellaris (clown anemonefish), 2600 nucleotides. The record is from Ensembl. NCBI's taxonomy places the organism in Eukaryota, Metazoa, Chordata, Actinopteri, Pomacentridae.